GUCAGCGGACAGUUAACCUAAUCCUUGUUCCUGCAAAGCGGUUGGUUACUCCUCCUCCUGCCGUGAAUCUCCGCAUCUGAGUUUAAGGCUGUCAGUCGUAACCAUGUCGUGCAAGUUUCGCUUUAUCGCACGUCAUCCCUUGGGAUUCUUGUUGAUUUCUAUUUCUCACCCGAGCUUUGAUGGGACUUCAAGUAUUGACUACGUCAUGGUGAUAGCCCGGUUGAGACGGUGGUUUCAGCUCGGAAUGGGAAAGAUCUUGUUGCCACUGUUUCCCGAGCUGGGGCUAGUCAUGUGAUAGUUCGUCUGCAUCGUAGGUCAGUUCGGGAGACCGCCCAUUUGGAUGGAUGAUGACCUUCUGAAUGUGGCCCCCGCCUUCUUACGGUCGGACAAUUUCUUUGUGUGUUUCGUGCCCUUACAGAAAGGUAAAUAGGUUCAACAUUGGGAAGAUGUCUACAUACAUCCCCCAUUGGAUGGUCGUCUUGGAAUUGAAUGCCCGAUAUACUCAAACACUUCAAAGAUGGACAGGCACACAAGAAAGUGAGUCAUAUAGGCAAGUUCAAACCGUGUUUAUUCCCCAGUUUGAGCUCCUCCAGAGGGAUGGCAGCUGUUGCAAUGGAACGCAGAAAUGGAUCUUGAUAUUUACAGGAAUACAAGUCAAGUAGACGUAAAGCCCUUGCAUAAAUCAUGGAAGGGUCAAAGGUGAAUGGAGGAUCAUAGUUUGACGAACUAGGUUCCCACACUUGGAGAGAAACCAAGUUUUGACAAUGGCUUCAGAAAUGUAGACACCUUG
This 790-nucleotide long non-coding RNA is filed under the name Actinidia chinensis (golden kiwifruit). RNAcentral describes it as "long non-coding RNA (ACHI_LNC001177)". The record is from RNAcentral. Lineage: Eukaryota; Viridiplantae; Streptophyta; Magnoliopsida; Ericales; Actinidiaceae.